This 1477-nucleotide long non-coding RNA is filed under the name Prunus dulcis (almond). Its description in RNAcentral is "sRNA ncRNA". Lineage: Eukaryota; Viridiplantae; Streptophyta; Magnoliopsida; Rosales; Rosaceae. The record is from RNAcentral.
CUCUACUCAUCACUCUCCCAAGAACCUGCUACACACCCUUAUUUUUUUUCGUAGAUGGAGCAGAUGAUUCAUAACUACUAUUCUUGAUACCACUAGUGCUCGACCCAGUACGCUUUUCUUUUUCUAGUAAUUCGGCCUUCAAUGCCAUAUUAUCUGCAUCAUGAACUAUCCAUAAAGUUUGAAGCCCAAUUUUCUCAUGCAGAGAACUUUUCAGCCUUGUGAUAUACCUUGUGACCAUGUGACCAUGUGUUUCCUCCAAAUUAUUGUGCUCAGCCAAAUACAAAAAUUCAUAUGUAUACUCAAACGAUUUGAUUACCUCGGUGUUAAUUAUGGUAGAGUCGAUACAUGUGUUGCUCAUAACCGGCAGAUAGGAAUCUCCCCAUCAUCAGUUGCUUCAUACGAUGUCAAGUCCUCGCUGCUUGUUUACCCUGCAACUGACGCAAUUGUUGAAGCUGGUCCCACCAUACACCCGCAUUACCCAUCAAACGAAAAGCAGUAAUCUUCACCAUCUUCAUCUAUGGAACCUCCAUAAUCUCGAAGAAAGAAACGCUCCACCUCUACCAACCAAUCAUGAACGUCUUCAAUUUGUAGGCCAUUACAGUAUGGAAUAUCAGCCUUAAUUCGAAAAUCGUCAAUGUAUCGGUUACAAUUAUUCUGAUUCGGUGCAAUCAUGGGUUGUUCACAGAGCUCUUCUUCAGACUCUUCGUCACUCUCAAAAAGAUGACGUCUCUCAACAAUGGGACGUUGCAUACGGGCACUUCCAUUAGUUUAUGGAGAGCUUUGGUUUCCCAUGCCCAACAAUAAACGCAUAACCUCUUCCACUGCCUCAUAGAGGGUCUCAAACUCGGCACAAGUAACAACUUCCCCUGUACUAUGGGUCCUAUCACCUCCAUCUGGGUUGUUCACUGAGCCGGCCAUACAUGCUCUAAUGCCAACUGACGUAGCGUGACAAUUGAUUGGCUAAAUUUUAGCCUAAAACAUGUAACUUUUAAAUCCACCAGGAAGAUAUGAGGAAACCUCAAGGUUUAUUGAUAAUUGGAACCACAGGUAAAAUUUGUUUAAAUACUCCUAUAAACUCUAGGAAUAAACAAGGAAUUAAAAUAGGAAAAUAACAAAGUUUCCAAAAAUGUAAAAACUUUAAAACUGAAUUUCAGGCUGCUAAACGAUCUCGGAUGCCCGAAAAAUCUCAUACUUCAUGGCUAUGCCAUGAGUUUUUCUCAUGAUUCUGUUCUCUACGAAUCGACGGGUCAUGGGCUUGAUUUUGAGCUUGGAGUCCAAAUAUGCAGUUUGCCCGAUUUACACUUGCAUGCGCGUCUCUCCAGCUCCUCUUCGAUUGCUUCUGCAUAUAUUCUACAUCACUAUGGACCAUUCAUUUCGAUGAAGACGAGAGACAAAGAAAACAACCCAACACACAGAGGUAAACAGCUACAUGUUCAAUUAAUAUUUGAUAUAUCAGCACUGCAAUGCUUGCUUUCAU